Molecule: small RNA, 627 nt
Filed under: Pongo abelii (Sumatran orangutan)
Lineage: Eukaryota; Metazoa; Chordata; Mammalia; Primates; Hominidae
Description: retained intron
Source: RNAcentral
UUGUUCCUGUUAGAUAUGUAUGUGUUCUGGGUUGUGACGUAAAGUGUUUUUACUAUGGAGUACAAUGAGAGAUUUGAAAGCCAUUUUUCUAGAAUGAUCAGGUUAUAUUUGAUAUGAAACAAUUUUAAAAAAUAAUUUUCCUCAUAUGUUUUAGGUGUGAGUUCUUGAUACGAAUGAAAGGCCAAGAGUUUGUUGAUGAGAUUCAAGGUAGAUAUCCUCAUCUUCUUGAACAGCUGUUGUCAACUUCAGAUACCACUGGAGAAGAAAAUGCUGACCCACCAAUUAUUCAUUUUGGACCUGGAGAAAGUUCUUCAGAAGAUGCUGUCAUGAUGAAUACACCUGUGGUUAAAUCUGCCCUGGAAAUGGGCUUUAAUAGAGACCUGGUGAAACAAACAGUUCAAAGUAAAAUCCUGACAACUGGAGAGAACUACAAAACAGUUAAUGAUAUUGUAUCAGCACUUCUUAAUGCUGAAGAUGAAAAAAGAGAAGAGGAGAAGGAAAAACAAGCUGAAGAAAUGGCAUCAGAUGAUUUGUCAUUAAUUCGGAAGAAUAGAAUGGCUCUCUUUCAACAAUUGACGUGUGUGCUUCCUAUCCUGGAUAAUCUUUUAAAGGCCAAUGUAAUUAAUA